GACGACGCUGGCGGCGUGCUUAACACAUGCAAGUCGAACGGGGCGAAGUGAUAGCUUGCUAUUAUGGAGCCUAGCGGCAAACGGGUGAGUAACGCGUAGGCAACCUGCCCUUGCAGAGGAUAGCCAUUGGAAACGAUGAUUAAAACCUCAUAAUGCCAGACUGAGACAUCUCUAACUGGCCAAAGAUUUAUCGGCAAAGGAUGGGCCUGCGUCUGAUUAGCUAGUUGGUGGGGUAACGGCCUACCAAGGCGACGAUCAGUAGCCGACCUGAGAGGGUGAUCGGCCACAUUGGAACUGAGACACGGUCCAAACUCCUACGGGAGGCAGCAGUGGGGAAUAUUGCACAAUGGGCGAAAGCCUGAUGCAGCAACGCCGCGUGAAGGAAGAAGGUCUUCGGAUCGUAAACUUCUGUCCUUAGGGAAGAUAAUGACGGUACCUUUGGAGGAAGCCCCGGCUAACUACGUG
RNAcentral lists this ribosomal RNA (465 nucleotides) under uncultured bacterium. RNAcentral's name for it is "bacterial SSU rRNA". It matches the Rfam family "Bacterial small subunit ribosomal RNA", at positions 32 to 507 of the family's 1533-position model. The record is from RNAcentral.